UUCCCACAUGUCAUGGGAGGAACCCAGUGGGAGGUGAUUGAAUCAUGGAGGCAGGUCUUUCCCAUGCUACUCUUGUGAUAAUGACUACAUCUCACGAGAUCUGAUUAUAUAAGGGGGAGUUGCCGGGCACAAGUUCUCUUCUCUUGUCUGCUGCCAUGUGAGACAUACCUUUCACCUUCCGCCAUGAUUGUGAGGCCUCUCCAGCCACGUGGAACUCAGGUUUCAGUCCUUGAGGAGCGCUCACUAGGAUGGUAAUUGUUUGAUCGAUAGAUUAAGUGAGUUGGAAGACUCUCCAAGUGAAAAUUUAAAAUUACUGCAGUUUUGGCCUGAUGAUGUUAACCAGCAAGAACAGAAUCUGAAACCAGAUGAGCUGUUAGUACUGCUUUCAUCUGUUUUACAGCCACAGCGACAGCAGUUCCCUGGCUUCUGGAAGGAGUGUCGGUCUAUCCAAAAAAUGUACUAACAGAUAUGUAAAGUCUGUCAUCCAUUUGCAGCAAAUUUUGCCUACGGUAUGAAAUAGGAGUUCAAUUUGACAUUGAAUAUUGAUAUCUUAGCAAUAUUAUCUCCCAAUCUGUGAACACGAAAUUUCUUUAUAUUUAUUCAAAUUAUCUUUGGUUUUUAAUGAUGUUAAAUCCAAGUAUUCUUUGUGAUGCUGUUGUAAAUGGAAUUUUUUGUGUUGUUCAUUGCUAAUGUAUAAAAACCAAUGAUGUUUGUAUAUUAAUCUUGUAUCCUGCAACCUCAUUGAACUAGUUUAUUAGCUCUAGUAAUAUGUUGGUGUGAAUCCCUUAAUAUUUUCUACAUACAAGAUCAUGUCAUCUGCAAAUUGUUUUACUUCUUCCUUUCCAAUUUGGAUGCUUUUUAUUUCAUCUUGCCUACUGCUUUGGCUACAACCUCCAGUACAAGAUUGAAUAGAAGUGAUGAGACAGAACAUCCUUGUCUUAUUUGUGAUCUCUGGGGGGGAAGGCUUACAGUAUUUUGCAUCAACAUAUCAGCUACGGGUUUUUCAUAGAUGUCCUUUCUCAGGAUGAAAAAGUCCAUGUUUGGCUUUUUGAAUGUUUUCAUCUAAGAGUUUUGGAUUUUGCCAAAUGUUAAAUGCUUCUUCUGUAUGCAUUGAGAUGAUCUUGUUGUUUUUGUCCUUUAUUCUAAUAAUAUGGUGUACUACAUUGAUUUCUGUAUGUUGAAGUUUGUAUUCCUAAGAUAAAUCUCACUUGCUUAUGGUGUACAUUCCUUUCUAUAUGUUGCUGGAUUUACUUUCAUUAGUAUUUUGUUGAGGAUUUUUGCCUCUAUAUUGAGGGCUAUUGGCCUGUAGUUGUUUUCUUUGCCUGAUUUCUAAUGUGGGUGAUACUGAAUUGGGAAGGGUAUCCUCCUUCUCUGUUUUUUGGUGUUUGUGAAUAAUUGGUGGUAUUCUGUAAAUGUUUGACAGAAUUCACCAGUGAAGACAUCUGCUCCUGGACUUUUUCCCGUGGGAAGUUUGUUUUUAAGAGAUGGGAGUCUCACUCUCACCCAGGCUGG
Molecule: long non-coding RNA, 1512 nt
Filed under: Homo sapiens (human)
Lineage: Eukaryota; Metazoa; Chordata; Mammalia; Primates; Hominidae
Description: HSALNT0383760
Source: RNAcentral